UAGGGAAUCUUCGGCAAUGGACGAAAGUCUGACCGAGCAACGCCGCGUGAGUGAAGAAGGUUUUCGGAUCGUAAAACUCUGUUGUUAGAGAAGAACAAGGACGUUAGUAACUGAACGUCCCCUGACGGUAUCUAACCAGAAAGCCACGGCUAACUACGUGCCAGCAGCCGCGGUAAUACGUAGGUGGCAAGCGUUGUCCGGAUUUAUUGGGCGUAAAGCGAGCGCAGGCGGUUUCUUAAGUCUGAUGUGAAAGCCCCCGGCUCAACCGGGGAGGGUCAUUGGAAACUGGGAGACUUGAGUGCAGAAGAGGAGAGUGGAAUUCCAGGUGUAGCGGUGAAAUGCGUAGAUAUAUGGAGGAACACCAGUGGCGAAGGCGGCUCUCUGGUCUGUAACUGACGCUGAGGCUCGAAAGCGUGGGGAGCAAACAGG
Molecule: ribosomal RNA, 429 nt
Filed under: Chloroflexota bacterium
Lineage: Bacteria; Bacillati; Chloroflexota
Also listed under: 1 other name
Description: Chloroflexi bacterium partial 16S ribosomal RNA
Rfam family: Bacterial small subunit ribosomal RNA
Source: RNAcentral